Non-coding RNA from Paramuricea clavata, 205 nucleotides. The record is from the annotation of a GenBank genome assembly. NCBI's taxonomy places the organism in Eukaryota, Metazoa, Cnidaria, Anthozoa, Malacalcyonacea, Plexauridae.
UUUCUUAAAGAUAUUGGUAGAGUGUUCCACGUUCUGCAUGCUCUGAUAUAAAAACUGUUUUGAAAGGUUACUGUUUUUGAUUUGGUAAUCUGAAGAAGGAGUCCUGAUGUAGAACUAGAGCGUCUGGUUACACGAUUUGGUGAAUUUAGUUUCACAUUUUUGUCGGAAUUUUCAUAAAUGCAUUUGAAUAGAUAAACAAGAUCCA